UGCGCAGGCGGGCUUGUAAGUCAGUGGUGAAAUCUUGCCGCUUAACGGUAAAAUUGCCAUUGAUACUGCAGGUCUUGAGUAUGGUUGAGGUAGGUGGAAUGUGUUGUGUAGCGGUGAAAUGCAUAGAUAUGACACAGAACGCCGAUUGCGAAGGCAGCUUACUAAACUAUGAUUGACGCUGAGGCACGAAAGCGUGGGGAGCGAACAGGAUUAGAUACCCUGGUAGUCC
Molecule: ribosomal RNA, 229 nt
Filed under: uncultured bacterium
Lineage: Bacteria
Description: partial 16S ribosomal RNA
Rfam family: Bacterial small subunit ribosomal RNA
Source: RNAcentral